Molecule: ribosomal RNA, 85 nt
Filed under: SAR324 cluster bacterium
Lineage: Bacteria; Deltaproteobacteria
Description: partial 16S ribosomal RNA
Rfam family: Bacterial small subunit ribosomal RNA
Source: RNAcentral
GCAGGCGCCCAAGCUGUUGUUGACGACUGGGGUGAAGUCGUAACAAGGUAGCCGUAGGAGAACCUGCGGCUGGAUCACCUCCUUU